Long non-coding RNA from Pongo pygmaeus (Bornean orangutan), 2563 nucleotides. RefSeq lists it as uncharacterized. The transcript is spliced from 3 exons. The record is from RefSeq and is a predicted model, not a curated record. NCBI's taxonomy places the organism in Eukaryota, Metazoa, Chordata, Mammalia, Primates, Hominidae.
GAAUGGCGAGUACUUGCAAAUGCUGAUGAAAUCUUUAAGUGAGGAGCCUCUAACUAAUAUGAAAAUCUCCUCUCUCAGGCUGCGUGGACGCUGCCCAGCCACGGUGACGGAGCUGUUCCAAUGCCUGCUUCCCGAGACAGGCCCAUGAAAUCAUGCAGGCUUGAGCCCGGCUUCUAGAAGGAGCACACCACUGGCCAGGGUGGCUGGUGGAAACCAGCCCUGGCCAAGGGAGCCCCGGCCAGGCUGUCAGGUUGGUCUCAAACUCCUGGGCUCAUGCAGUCUUCCUGCCUCGGCCUCUCAAUGUGCUGGAAUUACAGAGAGGCAGCUAAGUCUUUUCCACAAUGGAUGACACAGUCCUCCUCACAAACCACCCCACAGAUCCAACCCCAAGGAACUCUACUUCUACGUGUGCCUGUGGGGCAAGGGAUGCAAAGCACCAGGCGAUGGAGCUCAGAGGAUGGCACUCUUCCAGAGAGCUGUGUGUCUCUGGGAAAACUAACACACCUCUCUGAGCCUGUUGCUACAGCUUUACCAUCAGCGAUGUGACUGCAAGCCUUCUCAGCUGCCUGUCAGCAGAUGCACAGGCCUGUGCACAGAGCUCUGCGGAGACCACGCCGACAUUGCCGCACACCCACCCUCCUGCUCAUGGGACAGACCAUUCACACCCACUUUUCCACCAGCCACAGGUUGUUGGAAAGAGAAGACUCUUCUCCAUGGACAAGCCACUGCCCCUUUAAGGGCCUCAGCUUCCUUACCCUAUGGGAUGAGGAAACAAAUCUUCACUUCCCACGGGACUUGGGGGAUGAAAAGGUAACCUCCGUAAAGCGGCCCCUGCUGCGGGGAAGCCACCCCACAGAUGAUAUUCCCCGCCCCCCCACCGCCCUCCCCAUAGGCCCAGAGCUCUACAGAGUCCUCAAGCUGGUGUCCCUCCAGGCUAAAACGCUUCCACCCCCUGGGCAGUGCACUACAGGGUGGUGGGGAAGGGGGCCAUCUGUGGAAGACAACACAGGGCCUGGCCUGGGGUCCUAGGCAAGACCUCUGUGACCUCAGUUUCCCCAGAUCCUCCAGGUGUGACCUUGUAGAUGGCCUCUAUUCUGGAUUCACAGCUGCUGAGGAGGAGGAAGAGGACACUGAAGGCAUUCCUUCAGUCCCCUGGGGAGGUUCAGAUGCUCAGACUCCCGGAUACCACCUUUGCUGGGCAGAAUAAUGUCCCCAAGAUGUCCAAGCCCUAAUCCCUGGAGCCUGGGAAAGUGUUACCUCACAGACCAAAGGGACUUUGCAGGUGUGUGAUUGAGUUAAAGAUCUGCAGUGGGAGGGUAGCCUGGAUUAGCCACGUGCGCCCAAAAGCAGAGACUCCUUCCCAGCCGUGGUCAGAGACAGAACGAGGGGACGCUGCUGGCUUUAAAGAUGGAAGAAGGGACAAGGAGCCAGGAGUGCAAGUGCCGCCAGAGGCCAGAAAAGGCAAGGGAUGGAUUUUUCCUCUGGAGUUCCAGGAGGAACCAGCCCUGCCAACACCUGGAUUUUAGUCCUGGGACCCCACCUCAGACAUCUGACCCCCUUGAGUGUAAGGUAAUAAAUGUGCGUUGCUUAAGCCACUAAGUCAGCCAUAAGUUGUUACAUGGCUACCACAGGAAACUAACAGGCCCUCCCCUCUGGCCCCGACAUGCCCAGCUGCCUGUGAAGGGGAAUAAAGAUGGCACAAGGCACGGCCCUCAUCGAUGUGUUCACACACCUUGCUCCCCUACUGGGCUGGCCCUGGGGCUGCAGACCUGAUCCUUGCUCUCAGGAGCCUUCGCCAGCUGAGAGACACCCACAGAGCCUCCCCUCCACUGGGGAGGCUCGAACCUUCCCUCCUGCUGCUGCUGCCCCAUCCUCUCCUCUUCCUCCUGCUGCUGUUUGUUGAGUGCUCCCUGUGAGUAGGCACCAGGCUAGUGUCCUCCUCCCAACCCUGGCCUCAUAGGCUCAGCGGUCAGGCCACCCAAGCAGCCACAUUGUGGACCCCCGAAUCCUGCCUGUGGUUUGGCAGGACAAAGGGUCUUUUCUGCUUCAGAGUCACAAAUGUGUCCUCCUCACAAUAAGGGCAGCAUGGAGGUCCGUGGGCCAGUGCCUCAGCCCAUUGAGCCUGGGGUCCUUGUCUGUACAGGGGGAAGAAGGUAGCACCUCACAGAUGGCGAUAAACCCAGCCAGUGCAGGGCAGGCAGUCAGCGCUCCAGACUCGCUUCAAGUCUUUGCCUAUGCUGCCAAUCAAGUCAGCUGUGGGAAGAGUCAGGUUUUUCUCUUGAAAGUCAGGGCCGGGCAGGGUGGCUCACGCCUGUAAUCCCAGCACUUUGGGAGGCCGAGGUGGGUGGAUCACGAGGUCAGGAGAUCGAGACCAUCCUGGCUAACACAGUGAAACCCUGUCUCUACUAAAAAUACAAAAAAUUAGCCGGGCGUGGUAGCGGGCGCCUGUAGUCCCAGCUACUUGGGAGGCUGAGGCAGGAGAAUCACUUGAACCUGGGAGGCAGAGGUUGCAGUGAGCCGAGAUCACGCCACUGCACUCCAGCCCCAGAGGACAGUGAGACUC